CACCGCCACCGCCUUAG
This 17-nucleotide microRNA is filed under the name Macrophomina phaseolina MS6. RNAcentral describes it as "miR-4258". The record is from RNAcentral. Lineage: Eukaryota; Fungi; Ascomycota; Dothideomycetes; Botryosphaeriales; Botryosphaeriaceae.